AGGAGGAGGAGGAGGAGGAAGAGGGAAAGUAGCAGUAGUGUGUAGUAGAGUAGGAGGCAUGCCAGUGUUGAGUGAGACACGCGCUCAUUCCCACCCAAUCUCACCACACAGAAACACCAACUCACUCCUCACUCACGUACAGCUCACCACGCGGACUGAACCCUUACGCAGCCUCACUCAGUUUCUCACAGUACACCUUCCUGUUAACGUGAAGUGCAGGAUUACGGAAAACUCAAUUGUUUUUCAAGAGUGUCAGCAGGGGAUACGAGACACUCAAAUUUUAUCAAGGGACGCCGCGUUUGUCUCAUCAUGGUGCCGCGCGUGGUGGUGACGAUGGUGGUGGUGGUCAUGGCGUGGGCGGUCCGGAGUCAAAGACCAUUCAGUGACCACUUUAGACCAUGGGAAGGUGAUUCUAGACCUCCAUUGGGCCACUCAGACGCCCAUUUCAUCCACCAGGAAGGACCGAGGUCAUCUUUUAGCCUGAGAACCUUAUCACCUCACAAGGACAGUCACCCUCCUCCCCGGGCACUGCAUCCUUCAGGGCCUCCCUCAGGACACCCAGGGCCGCUCUCAUUCUCAGGGAUCAAAGAGGAGGAUAUUUUCAGACCAAGACCAAGACCAAGACCACCUCGUCCUCCACCAUCUCGACACAAACACCACCACAGCAAUACCCCACCACGCAAGCCCUUGCACCACAGCCCUCCACCACCACAUAAACCACACCACAGCCUCCCACCACCACAUAAACCACACCACAGCGCUCCGUCACCACAUAAAGCCGACCACAGUCCUCCACUACCACACAAACCACACCAAAGCCCUCCAUCGCCACACAAACCCCACCACAGCCCUCCACAGCACGAGCCUCCACACCACAGUUCACCACCACAGAAGUCCCACCACAGCUUUCCACCGCACAAGCCUCCCCACCAAAGUCCACCGCACCACAGCGAGCCUCCCCACCACAGUAGUCCACCACAGCCUCCGCACCGCAAGUCACAGGGAGCUGUUUUCACUACCACAGUCCACGAGCAUAAGAAUGAAGGUCCCGGAGGCUGCCAGACCAAGGAGGGCUUUUACUUCGCAGGACAGACGUGGUUUGUGAAGGGGUGCCGCCGCCGCAAGUGUAUCCAUUUCAGGGGAAAGUUCUUCACCGAGACGGAUUCGUGUGACUCUGAGAUCUUCAACACCACCUACAGAUGCGUCAUUCAGGUGGACACGACAGCAGACUUCCCUCGCUGCUGUCCAACCUACAAAUGCAACCCCGACAAUCUAGGAAACUCAGUGUAGCCUACAGUUCCUCCCCCCCACCCACCAAACACCCACAGGAAACAGAGAGGAGGGAAAACAUGAACUUAAGAGGACCCAUGAAGAAGCGAGUAAUCAUCUUAGUGGUGAGAGAAUCAAGCGUUUCAAGACACAAUGGAGUCUUCCUUUCUAGUAUUUUAGUUUAGUUAUUCAUGUAUUUAUUUGUACAUUACAUGAAGAUGUAAUGUUGACUGUAUCCAGUGAUUACAUGUAUUCCACCCCUUGAAACAUUCACUCAAUCUCGUCUUGCUCCCAUUUACUUGCAUAUUUUGAGUCUAGUCUACCCUUAAAGGUUCUCUGAUUUCCGUUUUCCUUGGUAAUAAUUUCUCUGUUACAAUAGAAGUCAACAAAGGCUUUAUAAAUUUCUAUUAAUCACACUCAUAAGAAUACAUGUGAUUCUAUGCAGGAUUGUAAAAUACUACUAAAUACGUAUGUAGGCAUAUUGGAUAUAAGAAAAAAAUGUGAACAGUUUUAUUACUAGUAGGCCGAUUAAAGAAUUGUAAUAAUGGAGGAAAAGAAAUUAAGUUAAAUAUUUACCAACGCCAUUAUCAAGAUGUAUGAAUAAUGCAAUAGGUAGGUCUGUUUUAAUCAAGAAUAUACAUGUAUACUGCAGUGCGUGAGUGAAGUGAAGGAACUGCCAUAUCAUAGUGCUGGGAAAUUAACUAGUUUUUAUCUAUGUAACUCUACGUUGAGCAGCUUUCUAUCUAUCUACUCUUUGGUUUUAUUUGUUACGCCACGGUGUGUGUGUGUGUGUGUGUGUGUGUGUGUGUGUGUGUGUAAGAAUCAUAGAUAGCUUAUUUAUAACCCAGUAGUAGCAGCAGAGUUGUUAUUUAUUUAUAGUGAAUCGUUUCCGCCUAUUCCUUGCAUCCUUGUUAACAAUGAAUAACAUUUAGCCAAGCA
RNAcentral lists this unclassified non-coding RNA (2208 nucleotides) under Portunus trituberculatus (swimming crab). Its description in RNAcentral is "extensin-3-like, transcript variant X1". Lineage: Eukaryota; Metazoa; Arthropoda; Malacostraca; Decapoda; Portunidae. The record is from RNAcentral.